RNAcentral lists this ribosomal RNA (497 nucleotides) under uncultured bacterium. RNAcentral describes it as "partial 16S ribosomal RNA". It matches the Rfam family "Bacterial small subunit ribosomal RNA", at positions 28 to 507 of the family's 1533-position model. The record is from RNAcentral.
GAUGAACGCUGGCGGCGUGCCUAAUACAUGCAAGUCGAGCGAACGGACGAGAAGCUUGCUUCUCUGAUGUUAGCGGCGGACGGGUGAGUAACACGUGGAUAACCUACCUAUAAGACUGGGAUAACUUCGGGAAACCGGAGCUAAUACCGGAUAAUAUUUUGAACCGCAUGGUUCAAAAGUGAAAGACGGUCUUGCUGUCACUUAUAGAUGGAUCCGCGCUGCAUUAGCUAGUUGGUAAGGUAACGGCUUACCAAGGCAACGAUGCAUAGCCGACCUGAGAGGGUGAUCGGCCACACUGGAACUGAGACACGGUCCAGACUCCUACGGGAGGCAGCAGUAGGGAAUCUUCCGCAAUGGGCGAAAGCCUGACGGAGCAACGCCGCGUGAGUGAUGAAGUUCUUCGGAUCUUAAAACUCUGUUAUUAGGGAAGAACAUAUGUGUAAGUAACUGUGCACAUCUUGACGGUACCUAAUCAGAAAGCCACGGCUAACUACGUG